Eriocheir sinensis (Chinese mitten crab) is the source of this 3268-nucleotide long non-coding RNA. RefSeq lists it as uncharacterized. The transcript is spliced from 2 exons. Lineage: Eukaryota; Metazoa; Arthropoda; Malacostraca; Decapoda; Varunidae. The record is from RefSeq and is a predicted model, not a curated record.
AGGGGGGGGAGGGGAGACGGGUUAGAAAUGGGGUGAUGGUGGGGUGAGGGGAGAUGGGUGAGAAACAGGGAGGGGUAAGGUGGGGGAGGAAGGGGUGAGUGGGAAUGGAUAAAAAUGAGGAAAUGGGUUAAAAUGAGGAAUAAAUUAAAAUGAGGAAAUGGGCAAAAAUGAGGAAUGAAUUAAAAUCAGGGAAUGGGUAAAAAAAUGGAUAAAAAUGAAAUGGGUAAAAAUGAAGAAUGGAUAUAAAUGAAAUGGGUAAAAAUGAAUGGAUAAAAAUCAAAAAAUGGGUGAGAAAUGGGUGAGAAAUAGGGAUAAGGUGGGGUGGGAAGGGGUGGGGGAGAUGGGUGAAAAGUGGGGUGAUGGUGAUGGGGGGGUGGAAGACCAGUGAGAAAUGGGGAUAUGGGGGAAGAGGGAGCAGAUAUGAGGGUGGAUAAAAGAAUGCAAAUAGUAUUAAGAGGUAUUUAUGAGGUCAGGAAUAGUGGAAAUGGGUGACGUGUAAUGGAGUGAACAUGAGGGUGGAAAUGGGUUAUAGAAAAUGGAUGUGAGAUGAAAACUAGCAGAAAUAGGAAGGAGAAAUGGGGAUCAGGGGUGACUACGAUGUGAGAAAUGGGUGAUGUGUAAUGGAGUGAACAUGAGGGUGGAAAUGGGUAAUAGGAAAUGGAUGUGACAUGAAAACUAGCAGAAAUAGGAAGGAGAAAUGGGGAUCAGGGGUGAAUAUGGUGUGAGAAAUGGGUGACCAGUGUAAUGGGGUGAAUGAGUGGAAAUGGGUAUUAGGAAAUGGAUGUGAGAUGAAGACUAGCAGAAAUAGGAAGAAAUGGGGAUUGGGGGUGACUAUGUUGUGAGAAAUGGGUGAUCAGUGUAAUGGGGUGUAUAUAAGGGUGGAAAUGGGUAAUAGGAAAUGGAUGUGAGAUGGACUAGUAGAAAUGGGAAGGAGAGAAAUGGGGUUGAUAUGAAUGAUGGGUGACUUGGGGUAAGGAAUGGGUGAUGGGGUGAGAAAUGGGUGUAAUAGAGAGGAAGGUAAGAAAUGGGUAAAUGGGUGAGUUGUAAGAAAUAGGGAAAUGGGAGACAGUUCAAGGGUGAGAAAUGGGUUAAGUUAAUGGGUUUGAAAUAGGGAAAAUCAGGGAAAGGGGCAAAAAUAAGCAAAUACGCAAAAAAUGGGGAGAAAUUGGUCAAACUGGGCAAGAUAUCAAUCAAGAAAUGGGUGAAAUCUUGCAAAAUAGGUAAAAUUGGGCAAGAUAUGGGUAGUUUAAAAAAAAUAAGUAAAAAGAGCAAUUGAUAACUGAGAAGGAAAUGGUAAAAUUGGGCAAGAAAUGGGUAUAGGGGCAAAAAUGGGUGAAAUAGGCAAAUUGAUGAAAUUGGGGAGAAAUGAGCAAUAGGUAAAAUGGGGAAUAAAUGAGUAGUAAUGGGUAAAAUAGGGACUGUAAAAAUGGCUUAGUGUUAAAAUGGGUGAAAUGGGGAAAUGGAUAAAAAUGGGGAAAUAGGUAAAAAUUAGGAAAUAGGGGAAAAUGAGGAAUGGAUAUAAAUGAAAUGGGUAAAAAUGGGCAAGAAAUUAGUAAAAAUGAAAUGGGUAAAAUUGGGAAAUGGGGAAUAGGGAAGAAAUGGGUGAAAUGGAUAAAAAUGGGCAAGAUAUUGGGAAAAAUAAAAUGGGUAUAAAUAGGGAAAUGGGGAAUAGGGAAGAAAUGGGUGAAAUGGGGAAAUGGAUAAAAAUGAAGAAAUGGGUAAAAAUGAAGAUAAAAAUGGGGAAAUGGGUCAAAAUAGGGAAGAAAUGGGUGUGAAUUAAAUAGUCAAUAUAUACACACACACAAACAGGCACAGCAAAUGAUAUAAAAAAAAAAAAAAAAAAAAAAAUCAAGCAGGCUGUGUGUGCGCAUGUCUGUAAGCAUGGCCAAGCUCGUGUGCGUCUCUAUGUAUGUGCGUGUGUCUCACCACCACACGCACACGGUUAACAAACGCACACAGGUAUACACAUGAGGCAUUAGUACGUACACACGCUAGCCGUUAGCACACAUGGUUAUGCGUACAUGUUGCCCUUAGCUGUACGCACAUGGCGAUGUAUACACCUUGCCCGUUAGUACACACAGAGCUAUGUACACUCUGGCCAUACACGCACACACAAGAGAUGUAUGCGUUAAAAGUACACAUGACCUAGUUGGUACACACGCUCUCCUCCAUGUGUACACUAGGUAUGUGUGCGUAAAUUAGUUCACACACACACACACACACACACACACACACACAUUCAAGCAGUUUCAUCCCUCUAGAAAGUGUGUGUGUGUGUGUGUGUGUGUGGUUUCUAUGGGUGGAGUCGGCUAAUAAGCAGAACUUAUGAAUAUCCUGCUAGGCGGAGGAGGAAGAGGAGGAGGAGGAGGAGGAGGAGAAGAGCAAUGUCACUUCCCUCGCUCUACAUCCUCUCUCUCUCUCUCUCUCUCUCUCUCUCUCUCUCUCUCUCUCCACCAACACACUUUCUAUGCUCUAUAUAUUUCCACCUGUAUGUCUGUCUGUCUGUCUGUCUGUAUAAGUAUGUCUGUAAAUGCCUAACUGUAUAUAAUUAUGUGUCUACCUUUGUCUGUUGGCUGGUCUAUCUGUAAAUAUAUAUAACUAUUUGUGUAUAUAUCUAUCUAUCUGUCUGUCUGUCUAUAGGAAUAAUGAUUAAGUUUGUCUAUACGAAUUCUAAUUUUUUCCUUCCUUUUUAGUUUCAUUUGUUUAUCUUUCUGUUUAACUAUCUAUCUAUCUAUCUAUCUAUAAAUACAAUGAUUAGGUUUCUACAUCUAUACAAACACCUUCCUUUUCUAUUUCACUUGAUUCUCUUUUCCUCUGUGUUUGUCUGUCUAUCUAUAAGCAUAACAAUAAGGUUCAUUCAUCUAUCAAAAUCCUUCUUUCAUUCAUUCUUCAGUUCCUUCACCUGUAACAACCUUUCAAUUCUUUCCUAAUUCACUUGAUUCUCUCUUUCUCUCUGUGUGUCUCUAUAUAUCAACAAGCAUAAUAUAAGGUUCCUUCGUCUAUACAAAUUCUUUCAUUCAUUCUUCAGUUCCUUCACCUGUAACAACCUUUCAAUUCUUUCCUAAUUCACUUGAUUCUCUCUUUCUCUCUGUGUGUCUCUAUAUAUCAACAAGCAUAAUAUAAGGUUCCUUCAUCUAUACAAAUUCUCUUUCAUUCUUAGGUUUCUUCAUCUAUACAAAACCCUUCUUCCUUCCUUUCUUUUCUAUUUCACUUCAUUCUGUUCUUCUGUGUGUCUCUAUAUAUCAACAAGCAUAAUAUAAGGUUCCUU